UAGCGAUAGGGUUAAUUUUGAAACUCCAUUAAGCGCCAACACAGUUUGAUGACUUUGCUUCAACACCCACCAUCCCCAAUCCGUAACCAUAAAUACUAUGAGAGUUCGAAUAUUUCGAAAAAGAUCUCGUCAAGAAAGCGAGACGUGUGGUAAAGUUAAACUAGUGUCUAGUGGUAGCGAAAAUACUUUUGAUUAAGUACAAGAACGAUGAUUUCAUAAUUAUAUAUUUAUAUGCAUAACGCAUCCACGUAUACACUCCCAUCAAUUGUUCAUAUAUAUUAUUCUCCUAGCUUAGUGGCCUAGAGAAACUUAUACAUUAUAGCGCCAAAAGUCCCGGAGAACUUGUGUAGCCCUCUCGUUUAUUGAUAACGAUUGAGACGAUCAAAAUACGUAUACAUAUUGAAAUUAUGGUCUCUAAACCAAAACGUAGGUACAUAAGCGGAUGCUGCCGAAGAAUAGAGAAUUAGGGAACCCCAAGUGGGUAGAAAAAGACGUAAACACAGCCGAUAAACUCAUAUGUCUUGUCCGAACAAAGGUACAACAUUAUUAUUUCUGGAAAAGCCCCACAAAUCUUUAGUGAAUUUGGAAGUUACACUAACUUCUUGUUGUGGCUCAAUCUUAUAUACGUAUGGGCAGCAAUGGACGAAAGGUGUUGGGGUCACAAUAAUGAAUAUAUAGGCCAAGAAGUUUUUUUUUGUAAGUA
Molecule: long non-coding RNA, 703 nt
Filed under: Capsella grandiflora
Lineage: Eukaryota; Viridiplantae; Streptophyta; Magnoliopsida; Brassicales; Brassicaceae
Description: long non-coding RNA (CGRA_LNC001222)
Source: RNAcentral